RNAcentral lists this ribosomal RNA (371 nucleotides) under uncultured bacterium. RNAcentral's name for it is "bacterial SSU rRNA". It matches the Rfam family "Bacterial small subunit ribosomal RNA", at positions 524 to 898 of the family's 1533-position model. The record is from RNAcentral.
UACGGAGGAUGCAAGCGUUAUCCGGAUUUAUUAGGUUUAAAGGGUGCGUAGGCGGAGAUUUAAGUCAGUGGUAAAAGGCAAUAGCUUAACUAUUGUAAGCCAUUGAUACUGGGUUUCUUGAGUUCGGUAGAGGUAGGCGGAAUGUGUUGUGUAGCGGUGAAAUGCUUAGAUAUAACACAGAACACCGAUUGCGAAGGCAGCUUACUAUGCCGUUACUGACGCUGAUGCACGAAAGCGUGGGGAUCAAACAGGAUUAGAUACCCUGGUAGUCCACGCUGUAAACGAUGAUCACUCGUUGUUGGCGAUACACAGUCAGCGACUGAGCGAAAGCAUUAAGUGAUCCACCUGGGGAGUACGUUCGCAAGAAUGAA